GAUGAAGAACGCAGUGAAAUGCGAUAAGUAAUGUGAAUUGCAGAAUUCAGUGAAUCAUCGAAUCUUUGAACGCACAUUGCGCCCGCCAGUAUUCUGGCGGGCAUGCCUGUUCGAGCGUCAUUUCAACCAUCAAGCCCCAGGCUUGUGUUGGGGACCUGCGGCUGCCGCAGGCCCUGAAAACCAGUGGCGGGCUCGCUGUCACACCGGGCGUAGUAGAUUUUAUCUCGCUCAGGGCGUGCUGCGGGUUCCGGCCGUUAAAAAGCCUUUUUUACCCAAGGUUGACCUCGGAUCAGGUAGGAAGACCCGCUGAACUUAAGCAUAUCAAUAAGAGGAGGA
This 336-nucleotide unclassified non-coding RNA is filed under the name soil metagenome. RNAcentral describes it as "partial contains 5.8S ribosomal RNA, internal transcribed spacer 2, and large subunit ribosomal RNA". The stretch from base 1 to 120 matches the Rfam family "5.8S ribosomal RNA", at positions 35 to 154 of the family's 154-position model. The record is from RNAcentral.